AAACAUUUUUUUAAUUUAAAUACUAAACUCAAUUUUCCAAGCCAGUUCCUAUUGACUCAUGAGUUGAAAGGCUUUAUCAACUUUCAGAGCACAAAUUUCUCACAAUUUUUUAAAAAGAGAUUGAGUGAGCAGUGGUUGUGAGAGAAAGAUCAAGUACAUACUUACCAAUAUCUUUGAGUCCAACCAUCGGCACUGAUCAUCCACCCAUAGUACGAGUACAGUGGUCGGUUUGCAAUGAGUAGCCAGAGACUGAGCUACACUCAACUCGUCGACUAGUCUCGUGCUUGGAACAUCGUGAAUGAGGAGCGCUUAUACACAUACGCGUACGUACAUAUAAUUUACGCUCAAAAACAACGAAAUGUACGAAAAUUAUACACUUAAGCGGAGUGUGGAAAAAAGCGGGGUAGCAAAAUGGUGAAGGAAAAAAGAUCGAUUGUUUGUAUGCCACGCUGUACCCGCUUACCGUAGGUACAUACGGUAUGUACGUCCGUAAAAUUAUUACACUAUGUCGUUUGAAUGUAUUGCCCUCGUCGGUCUCUUGAUUGUUUUCCACUUUUUUUCAUUUUGUGUUUAAAAAUCUACGGGCUCGGGUUGCCAACGGACACUUUGUGACUACACAAAUUCAAGACUAGAGUUUAGUCUUAUAAGAGUGAUGUUGGUGUGUAGAUCGCGUUUUGUAGCGAGUGCGUCUUGUAUUAGUUUUACACAAAUUCGACGCUUACUAAAUAUAAAUGUAAAAUAAUAAUGACAUAAAAAAAGACUAUUUGUAAGAAAAAGUAAUGACGCAUUGAUAGAUAUGAAGAAUUUUCCUUAAAUUUCACUGUAACUUUGAGCCAAAGUAUGUGUUAUUGAAAGGAGGAGAACUUAGUGAAGCGCUGUGAAAAAAACAGCAACAGUAUGCACGUCAACAGCGAACACGAAAUAAUGAAAAAACAAUUAAAUAAAAAAAACUGUUGUACAAAAACACAACAACAGCAACAAAUGUAAAAGGCAAAAUACCCGUAGAUUUGAGUGUACAGAAAUUUACCGCCUUUUAUGAGUGUAUUUGUAAGCGAAGCGCUAACCAAUACAUGCACAACAUAAAUUGAGCGCCGCUACCACUACUAACGCAAUUCACGCCAUCAUGGAAUCUCAACAGGUCCAAUAUAUGCACAAUCAGAAAAAUGUCAGCCGCUGUCGAAGUAGAGAACAGAUCUGUAAAGACAGUUCAAAAGCACGCGGAUGGAUUGGAGACUGUCUCCAAAAAACGCACAAAUACAGGCGCAGUGGACUGAACUACCUAUAUACUAUCUAUAUACGCACUAACAUGUAUACACAUGUGGAUAUGUAAUGCGUGCGAUACAUAAAAUUGAAAUACUCCGGUUAGGCAUCUGCCAUUUGCUGAUAUUUUCUGGCCUGCGCUACAAUCCUUCGAAAAUGCAUUCUUAAGAUUUCGAAAAGUAAUUGGAAAGGCGCAGAUUUCGUAUAGAAUUCAUUGAUGAAUGCCUGGAAUUAAGAACAUAAGAACAUAAGAAAUGCAUUUGCCGCGUAUGCAUGCGAAAUGCGAGCAUUUUGAAACUUCAUUGGAGAGUUUUUCUCCUCUCAUGUCUCUCAUGUGCUUUUGGCAAGUAACAAAUAUUAUUUUGUGAUUUUACAUUUGAAUGCGGCACUAGCUGAAAUGCCAUUGACAGCCAGCCGGCAUAUUCAAAAAGUAUUUGCGCCUACAAUGUGAGCACAUGUACAAAAGCCUGUAUUUGUUCCCCACUCAGCAAUAAUCAACACAACGUCUUUGGCAACGUUGUCCACAUCGUCAUUAUCAUCAUCAGAGCAUUCUAUAUGGGCACCACCACUACCAUCACACUCUACUCCACUUCACGGUGCGGCGUCAGCAGUAAAUCCACAAUCUUUUUUCACACUGCCGGGUGACCGCAACAACCGAUCGUCACGAAUAGCAACAAAACAAUAGCAAAAACACGAACGCCUCUAUUUUGUGCUAGCUGGUAACCCUAUAUAUACAUUUUGUAUAUAU
Long non-coding RNA from Anastrepha ludens (Mexican fruit fly), 2008 nucleotides. RefSeq lists it as uncharacterized. The transcript is spliced from 2 exons. Lineage: Eukaryota; Metazoa; Arthropoda; Insecta; Diptera; Tephritidae. The record is from RefSeq and is a predicted model, not a curated record.